Long non-coding RNA from Astyanax mexicanus (Mexican tetra), 516 nucleotides. RefSeq lists it as uncharacterized. Lineage: Eukaryota; Metazoa; Chordata; Actinopteri; Characiformes; Acestrorhamphidae. The record is from RefSeq and is a predicted model, not a curated record. The transcript is spliced from 4 exons.
ACAUAUCUGCACACUCUUGGUAUUUUAAUCUCAGUGUCUUCAUGAGGGACAGUCACCUGGAAUAGUUUUCUCAGCGUCUUUAGGGAAGGAUUUUAUGGUUGAUUAAGGGUUAAGGUUAGGGUUAGGUGUAGGGUUAGAUUUUAUGGUUGAUUAAGGGUUAAGGUUAGGGUAAGGGUUAGGUGUAGGGUUAGAUUUUAUGGUUGAUUAAGGGUUAAGGUUAGGGUUAGGUGUAGGGUUAGAUUUUAUGGUUGAUUAAGGGUUAAGGUUAGGGUUAGGUGUAGGGUUAGAUUUUAUGGUUGAUUAAGGGUUAAGGUUAGGGUAAGGGUUAGGUGUAGGGUUAGAUUUUAUGGUUGAUUAAGGGUUAAGGUUAGGGUUAGGUGUAGGGUUAGAUUUUAUGGUUGAUUAAGGGUUAAGGUUAGGGUAAGGGUUAGGUGUAGGGUUAGAUUUUAGGGUUGAUUAAGGGUUAAGGUUAGGGUUAGGUGUAGGGUUCGAUUUUAUGGUUGAUUAAGGGUUAAG